UUUUUUUUAAUCAUAAAGUAGAAUUUUGAUUGAGAAGAAGGAUAACAAAAAUAUCAUGAAAAAUAUUAGCUGGACCAGGAUUAGAUACCCUGUUACUUUUAAAUCAAAAAAUUUUGGAAAAUUAAUGUUUAUGAAAUUUAACGGAUUUGGCGGCAAAAUAGCUACUUAGAGGAACCUGCCCUGUGAAUGAUGAGCCACGAGAGUCUUCACUUUUCCUGGAAAUCAGUUUGUAUAUCGCUGUUGUCAGUUAAAUUUUUGAGAAUAUUUUCGUCCAUGAUAGGUUCAUUGACUUCAAGUAAAGGUGCAGCUAAUGGAAAAGGUAGAGGUGGGUUACAUUUAAAAGAAUAAUUACGGAUAAAGCUGGUAAAUGGCUUUUGAAGGAGGAUUUAACGGUAAAACUGAAGAAAGUUUGGUGAAAGCUCUAUUUUGUGUACACACCGCCCGUCGCUCUCUUUUUCAGAU
Molecule: ribosomal RNA, 462 nt
Filed under: Tetraclitella sp. MSL-Tetra-HO1-1
Lineage: Eukaryota; Metazoa; Arthropoda; Thecostraca; Balanomorpha; Tetraclitidae
Description: partial 12S ribosomal RNA
Source: RNAcentral